Molecule: long non-coding RNA, 310 nt
Organism: Sorghum bicolor (sorghum)
Lineage: Eukaryota; Viridiplantae; Streptophyta; Magnoliopsida; Poales; Poaceae
Exons: 3
Source: RefSeq, a predicted model, not a curated record
CAUGUCUCUUGCUAGCUGCUUGGCCAAGCAACGCCGUCGGCUUUUCAAGUUUCAUGAUCGCUGUUAUCCUCUAAGUUCUGCAGUGCUCUCCUUCAUUGUCGUUCACUUCUAUAUCUGUGUGUCUGCUUAUCCAUCCAUGCAUCUCCAACAAAACUAGCCAGCGGCCGCAAGUCAGGUCAUGCUUGCCUGCAAGCCGAGCUGCCUGUUUACUAAUCUUCCAUGUGGAUGAUGGUGAGCAGUACUUUAGUGAUCAAGAUCAGAGCUUUGGCAACAACUAAGACCAGCAGAACCAAAACGAUCAGCAAUAGCA